AAUCAAGUGCCUUAAGGGUGUUCGGUGGAUGCCUUGGCGCUGAGAGGCGAUAAGGACGUGCUACGCUGCGAUAAGCCGUGGGGAGCUGCGAAGAAGCUUUGAUCCGCGGAUUUCCGAAUGGGGAAACCCACCUUCGAUAGCCGGAACUCCAAGACCUUGGUUUUGGGGUUCGAUUGGGAGACCGAGAGGCUUCAAGAUCAUGACGAUGCAAGUCGUCGAGGUUUUGGAUUUCCGGUUAUCAAGAGAAGGUAUGAGACUUCUGAAUCCAUAGGAGGUUUCAAGCGAACCCAGGGAACUGAAACAUCUAAGUACCUGGAGGAAAGGACAUCAACCGAGACUCCGCUAGUAGUGGCGAGCGAACGCGGACCAGGCCAGUCAUGAAUGUAAGCCAACCAGAACCUGUCAGGAAAGCAGGGCCUCAGAGGGUGAUAGCCCCGUAUGGGUAAUGCGAACAUUCAUGCUCGAGUACGGCGG
Molecule: ribosomal RNA, 474 nt
Filed under: Bradyrhizobium sp. USDA 4371
Lineage: Bacteria; Pseudomonadati; Pseudomonadota; Alphaproteobacteria; Hyphomicrobiales; Nitrobacteraceae
Description: bacterial LSU rRNA
Rfam family: Bacterial large subunit ribosomal RNA
Source: RNAcentral